This 198-nucleotide ribosomal RNA is filed under the name uncultured bacterium. RNAcentral describes it as "partial 16S ribosomal RNA". It matches the Rfam family "Bacterial small subunit ribosomal RNA", at positions 1303 to 1500 of the family's 1533-position model. The record is from RNAcentral.
GUCUGCAACUCGACUACAUGAAGCUGGAAUCGCUAGUAAUCGCGGAUCAGAAUGCCGCGGUGAAUACGUUCCCGGGUCUUGUACACACCGCCCGUCACACCAUGGAGUCGAUAACGCCCGAAGUCAGUGACCCAACCUGUAAGGAGGGAGCUGCCGAAGGCGGGAUUGAUAACUGGGGUGAAGUCGUAACAAGGUACC